GUGCUUCCUUUUGGCAGCACAUAUACUAAAAUCGGAUCAAUGCACAGAUUAGCAUGGCCCCUUUGCAAGGGUGACAUGCAAAUUCCUGAAGCAUUCCAUCUUUUG
Nycticebus coucang (slow loris) is the source of this 105-nucleotide small nuclear RNA. NCBI's taxonomy places the organism in Eukaryota, Metazoa, Chordata, Mammalia, Primates, Lorisidae. The record is from RefSeq and is a predicted model, not a curated record.